GACAUAAGUCCUGUAGGGCCGAGGAAGACUACCUCGUUGAUAGGCUGGAGGUGGAAGUGCCGUGAGGCAUGGAGCUGACCAGUACUAAUAGCCCGUGAGUCUUAUUCUU
Molecule: ribosomal RNA, 109 nt
Organism: Desulfovibrio sp. An276
Lineage: Bacteria; Pseudomonadati; Thermodesulfobacteriota; Desulfovibrionia; Desulfovibrionales; Desulfovibrionaceae
Rfam family: Bacterial large subunit ribosomal RNA
Source: Rfam